AAAGGUAAGCUACUAAGAGCGAAUGGUGGAUGCCUUGACUGGUAAAGGCGAUGAAGGACGUACUAGACUGCGAUAAGCUACGGGGAGCUGUCAAGAAGCUUUGAUCCGUAGAUUUCCGAAUGGGGCAACCCAAUGUAUAGAGAUAUACAUUACCUAUAUAGGAGCGAACGAGGGGAAUUGAAACAUCUUAGUACUCUCAGGAAAAGAAAUCAAUAGAGAUUGCGUCAGUAGCGGCGAGCGAAAGCGCAAGAGGGCAAACCCAGUGCUUGCACUGGGGGUUGUAGGACUGCAAUGUGCAAGAGGUAAGUUUAGCAGAACAUUCUGGAAAGUAUAACCAUAGAGGGUGAUAGUCCCGUAUGCGAAAAACAAACCUUAGCUAGCAGUAUCCUGAGUAGGGCGGGACACGAGGAAUCCUGUCUGAAUCCGGGUCGACCACGAUCCAACCCUAAAUACUAAUACCAGAUCGAUAGUGCACAAGUACCGUGAGGGAAAGGUGAAAAGAACUGAGGUGAUCAGAGUGAAAUAGAACCUGAAACCAUUUGCUUACA
Molecule: ribosomal RNA, 548 nt
Filed under: Campylobacter jejuni
Lineage: Bacteria; Pseudomonadati; Campylobacterota; Epsilonproteobacteria; Campylobacterales; Campylobacteraceae
Description: partial 23S ribosomal RNA
Rfam family: Bacterial large subunit ribosomal RNA
Source: RNAcentral